This 254-nucleotide ribosomal RNA is filed under the name uncultured bacterium. Its description in RNAcentral is "partial 16S ribosomal RNA". It matches the Rfam family "Bacterial small subunit ribosomal RNA", at positions 524 to 776 of the family's 1533-position model. The record is from RNAcentral.
GACAGAGGUGCCGAGCGUUAGGCGGAAUCACUGGGCUUAAAGCGUGUGUAGGUGGAUGCCUAAGUACCUUGUGAAAUCCCACGGCUUAACCGUGGAACUGUUUGGUAUACUGGGUGUCUUGAGCCAGCUAGGGGGCUACCGGAACAAAUGGUGGAGCGGUGAAAUGCGUAGAUAUCAUUUGGAACGCCAAUGGUGAAAACAGGUAGCUGGGGCUGUGCUGACACUGAGACACGAAAGCCAGGGGAGCGAACGGG